ACCAUUUCAGAAAUUACUCAAGUAGCAGUGUCGCACCAGUUAUCAAGCACAAGUUUCCAGCAAGAAAAUAAAAAAUCAAGCACAAGCUGAAGCAGUGGUCCGAUACUCCCAUCAGAAAUCAGAACGAUCAUGUUUCUUCUGCCCUUGAUAAUUUACACGUACGGCACAUUCGUACUCUCAUACUUUUCCCCGGUAAAAUUCACACAGCACAUGAUGCUGCAUCGCGCGCAUCGCACGCAGCUGAUCCAUCAACAGCCGACGGCGGCGGACGGGCAAUCAACGGCCAGCUCACAGGCUGGGCACCCUCUCGGCGGCGCCGGAGAUGACGGUGAGCAGGUUGUUGCCGAAGGGGUCGCUGAGGUGCGCGCACAGGUUCUCAAAGGGGCCCUCGCCGGUGACGUAGGCCUGGAUGAAGAAGCCCAGCAUGGAGAACAUGGCCAGCCGUCCGUUCUUGAUCUCCUUCACCUUGAGCAGCGCCGCCUGGUCGGGGUCGGUGGCGAGGCCGAGCGGGUCGAAUGGGCCACCGGGGUGGAGCUUGUCAUCAAAUUCCUGCCGGAGAGGUUGACGAAACCGUUGGUCAGUACAAGGACGCCUGGCUGAGCUGCGGCAACGAAUAUCUAUGUUUCAGGAUACUGACCAGUCCGUUGGUGAUCCUGUAGUACUCGGCGCCUCCGACGAGGACGACCUCGGCGACGACGGCGAGGAUCAGGUUGAUGGGGAUGCUGUUGCCGAAGUAGUUGAGGGUGUUGCCGUCAAGGAGAAGGGCGCCAGUCU
This 774-nucleotide long non-coding RNA is filed under the name Triticum aestivum (bread wheat). Its description in RNAcentral is "long non-coding RNA (TAES_LNC004141)". Lineage: Eukaryota; Viridiplantae; Streptophyta; Magnoliopsida; Poales; Poaceae. The record is from RNAcentral.